Molecule: transfer RNA, 85 nt
Filed under: Alphaproteobacteria bacterium
Lineage: Bacteria; Pseudomonadati; Pseudomonadota; Alphaproteobacteria
Also listed under: 1 other name
Description: tRNA-Leu
Rfam family: tRNA
About the family: Transfer RNA (tRNA) molecules are approximately 80 nucleotides in length. Their secondary structure includes four short double-helical elements and three loops (D, anti-codon, and T loops). Further hydrogen bonds mediate the characteristic L-shaped molecular structure. tRNAs have two regions of fundamental functional importance: the anti-codon, which is responsible for specific mRNA codon recognition, and the 3' end, to which the tRNAs corresponding amino acid is attached (by aminoacyl-tRNA synthetases). tRNAs cope with the degeneracy of the genetic code in two manners: having more than one tRNA (with a specific anti-codon) for a particular amino acid; and 'wobble' base-pairing, i.e. permitting non-standard base-pairing at the 3rd anti-codon position.
Source: RNAcentral
GGCCCUGUGGUGGAAUUGGUAGACGCGCUUGACUCAAAAUCAAGUUCCGCAAGGAGUGUCGGUUCAAGUCCGACCAGGGCCACCA